GGCAAGGGGGUCAUCCCGACUUACCAACCCGAUGCAAACUGCGAAUACCGGAGAAUGUUAUCACGGGAGACACACGGCGGGUGCUAACGUCCGUCGUGAAGAGGGAAACAACCCAGACCGCCAGCUAAGGUCCCAAAGUCAUGGUUAAGUGGGAAACGAUGUGGGAAGGCCCAGACAGCCAGGAUGUUGGCUUAGAAGCAGCCAUCAUUUAAAGAAAGCGUAAUAGCUCACUGGUCGAGUCGGCCUGCGCGGAAGAUGUAACGGGGCUAAACCAUGCACCGAAGCUGCGGCAGCGACACUAUGUGUUGUUGGGUAGGGGAGCG
Molecule: ribosomal RNA, 323 nt
Filed under: Escherichia coli
Lineage: Bacteria; Pseudomonadati; Pseudomonadota; Gammaproteobacteria; Enterobacterales; Enterobacteriaceae
Description: partial 23S ribosomal RNA
Rfam family: Bacterial large subunit ribosomal RNA
Source: RNAcentral